This 497-nucleotide ribosomal RNA is filed under the name uncultured bacterium. RNAcentral's name for it is "partial 16S ribosomal RNA". It matches the Rfam family "Bacterial small subunit ribosomal RNA", at positions 28 to 507 of the family's 1533-position model. The record is from RNAcentral.
GAUGAACGCUGGCGGCGUGCCUAAUACAUGCAAGUCGAGCGAACGGACGAGGAGCUUGCUUCUCUGAUGUUAGCGGCGGACGGGUGAGUCACACGUGGAUAACCUACCUAUAAGACUGGGAUAACUUCGGGAAACCGUAGCUAAUACCGGAUAAUAUUUUGAACCGCAUGGUUCAAACGUGAAAGACGGUCUUGCUGUCACUUAUAGCUGGCUCCGCGCUGCAUUAGCCAGUUGGUAAGGUAACGGCUUACCAAGGCAACGAUGCAUAGCCGACCUGAGAGGGUGAUCGGCCACACUGGAUCUGAGACACGGUCCAGACUCCUACGGGAGGCAGCAGUAGGGAAUCUUCCGCAAUGGGGGAAAGCCUGACGGAGCAACGCCGCGUGAGUGAUGAAGGUCUUCGGAUCGUAGAACUCCGUUAUUAGGGAAGAACAAAUGUGUAAGUAACUGUGCACAUCUUGACGGUACCUAAUCAGAAAGCCACGGCUAACUACGUG